AUGACAACUGCUGGAACGGCAGCAUCAACCAUAACUACGCCUGUCUCAACAUCUGCGGUUGAAACCACAAUGGCUCAGAAUAUUUUUAUAGAAACUACUACCCUUGGCAUCACUUCCACAGAAAUUUCUACCACUUCUGAAGAAAGAACAACCCUGGAAACUACUACCUUUGGCACCACUUCUGUAGAAAGCACAACCCUGGGCACAACUUCUGCAGAAAGCACAACCCUGGGCACAACUUCUGCAGAAACGGCUACCCUUGGCAUCACUUCUGCAGAAACUACUACCAUUUCUGUAGAAAGAACAAUCCUAGGCACAACUUCUGCAGAAACUACUACCAUUUCCGUAGAAAGAACAACCCUGGGAACCACUGCUGCAGAAACUGCUACCCUUGGCUCUACUUCUGCAGCAAGUACCUCACUUGUCACACCUAUUGUAGAAAGCACAACCCUUGGUGCCACUACUGCAGAAAAAACAUCCUCUGCAAGUUCAAAAGGAAUCUUGGAAACAUCCAUGCUUGUAAAAACAAAUGCUGGAACAACAGCAACUACUCCUGCUUCAACAUCUGCAGUUGAAACCACAAUGGCUCAAACUACCACUCCUGCAGAAACUAUUACCCUUGACACCACUUCUGCGGCAAGUACCUUACUUGUCACCCCUUUUGUAGAAAGCACAACCCUUGGCACCACUUCUGCAGAAAAAACAUCCUCUGCAAGUUCAACAGGAAUCUUGGGAACAUCCACGCUUGUAACAACUGCUGGAACAACAAUGCCUGGCUCAACAUCUGCAGUCGAAACCACAAUGGCUCAAACUACAUAUUUUUCAGAAAUAACUGCACUUGGCUCCACUUCUGUAGGAAGCAUUACCCUUGGCACCACUUCUGCAGAAAAAACAUCUUCUGCAAGUUCAACAGGAAUCUUGGAAACAUCCAUGCUUGUAACAACUGCUGGAACAACAGCAGGUAUGCCUGACUCCACAUCUGCAGUUGAAGUGCUUGAUGGCACUUUUGCUGAAACACCCUCAGUUAGUUCAGCAGGAACUACAGCUAUAGGCACACCUGUCUUAACGCCUGCUGUUGAAACCACAAUGGCUCAAACUACCAUUAGGCACCACUACUGUAGAAACAACUACCUUUUGCAUAACUUCUGUAAAAAACACAGUUGGUCCCUCUUUUGUAAAGGGUACCAGUUGUGCGCAAACUAGUACCCUUGGCACCAAUUUUGCUUGAAACAAAACUGUUGGAACAAACUGCUGUAGAAGCCACAAUGGCUCAAACUACCACUUCUGCAGAUAAUACUACAGAAAUUUCUACUGUUGGUACCACUUCUACAGAAAUGACAACUGCUGGAACAACAACCUCAGCUAUAAUUAUGCCUGCCUUAAAAUCUGCUGCUGAUUCCACAAUGGCUCUAAAAACUACAGCUUCUGCAAAAAUAUAUCCUACAGGUACCACUGCAAUAGAAACUAGUACUAGUACUAUGCCUGGCUUUAAUGUCUGCUGUUAAAAUCACAGUGUCUCAAACAGAAACUACUAUGGUGCCCUUAGCACCAGUUCUGCAGAAACUACAACCCUAGGCACCACUUUUACUGAAACGCUGUUAAUUCAACAGGAAAAUUUAUGGAAAUAUCCACACCAGUAAUGACACCUGCUGGAACAAUCACAUCUGAAACUACUCCUGGCUUAACAUUUGUUGAAACCACAAUGGCUCUGAAAACUCCCACUUCUAUAGAAACUAUUUUCCUAGGCACGACUUAUCCAGAAACUACUACAAUCUCGACAGUCUCUUCAAAAACUACUGCAGUAGGUAGUAUACCACUUCUUUUGAAACAAGUUCAUUUUUGCAAACAUCUACACUUUUAUAAGAGUUGGGUAGAGUACCCAGAAACUGUACUCAAGUAAAAUUAA
Cyprinus carpio (common carp) is the source of this 1906-nucleotide long non-coding RNA. The record is from Ensembl. Lineage: Eukaryota; Metazoa; Chordata; Actinopteri; Cypriniformes; Cyprinidae.